This 495-nucleotide ribosomal RNA is filed under the name uncultured bacterium. RNAcentral's name for it is "SSU rRNA". It matches the Rfam family "Bacterial small subunit ribosomal RNA", at positions 26 to 518 of the family's 1533-position model. The record is from RNAcentral.
AGAGUGAACGCUGGCGGCAUGCCUAACACAUGCAAGUCGAACGGUAACAGGCCCGCAAGGGUGCUGACGAGUGGCGGACGGGUGAGGAAUACAUCGGAAUCUGCCCGGUUGUGGGGGAUAACGUAGGGAAACUUACGCUAAUACCGCAUACGACCUACGGGUGAAAGCGGGGGACCUUCGGGCCUCGCGCAGUCGGAUGAGCCGAUGUCGGAUUAGCUAGUUGGCGGGGUAAAGGCCCACCAAGGCGACGAUCCGUAGCUGGUCUGAGAGGAUGAUCAGCCACACUGGGACUGAGACACGGCCCAGACUCCUACGGGAGGCAGCAGUGGGGAAUAUUGGACAAUGGGGGCAACCCUGAUCCAGCAAUGCCGCGUGUGUGAAGAAGGCCUUCGGGUUGUAAAGCACUUUAUCGGGAACGAAACGUGUCAGGUAAAUACCCUGACAACUGACGGUACCCGAGGAAUAAGCACCGGCUAACUUCGUGCCAGCAGCCGC